UUGUAAAUUAAUAAAGAAAUGUUAAAAUUAACGACGCAGUUAAAGCAUUUUAAAUUUUUAUUUGGGAGCUCAAUUAUAUAUUAAGCGGUCAUACCUUUUUCUUCCCUUCACUCCCGCUCUAUCUCAUUGCUCCCACUCCUAUUCAAUUUACAUUUUUUCAAAUUGGGCGAAUUCACUUCAUUGAUCAUUAGUAUAUCUUGCAGAUAAAGUGAUCAAGUGGUGGAAUUGUCUAAAUCUCUCUUCACCGAUGGAAUUCUCUCUCUCCCUCUCCCUCUCUGUUUCCGUGAGGAUAGAUGUUGAAGCUGUCGAGGCAGCUCCUCCGCUCCUCAAGGAUAUGAGCCAUCAAACUCAACACAUGGGUUGAUUGCUAAGGAUCUACAUGGAAAUGAAUGGCAAUCAAGCACAUAUAUAGAGAGUUGUUUGCAAGUUUGGAUCUUGCGGAAUGGAGAAGCAGGCAUUUGGUAAAUGGAAAUGGCACACAGGUUGAAGCACAAGUUGCUUCAUAUCGUACAAGAGCACUAUGAACCUGUUUGCGCAAAAUGGACAACAGAAAGGUGCGCAGUAUGUCGAUGGGUUGGAGAUUGGGACUUCAACAAAAUUAUUAUUUGUAUUUGGUAUGUGUCUUGCUUGACUCCAUUUGUUGCUUUUAGCUACAUGACUGUUCAUAAAAAAUACUCCUUUAGGUGAUGAAUACGAUGUUAAUUUUUCAUUGUUACUCUCAAGUGUCAAAUUUUUGUUCAUCAAAAAUGCUAUGGAGCAAGAAACGUUAGCUACUUUGCUUCGUGGAUCUAAAGAGCAUUAGAAACAAAUGAUAUAGAGAGGGAAUGUUGUCUCCGUCCUGUGAAGGGUGUGG
Salvia hispanica is the source of this 853-nucleotide non-coding RNA. Lineage: Eukaryota; Viridiplantae; Streptophyta; Magnoliopsida; Lamiales; Lamiaceae. The record is from RefSeq and is a predicted model, not a curated record.